CCGUUCUCUUAUCAUUUUCCCUCCUCUCUGAAUAAAAUUUGUGCACUCUCACAUCAAUAUAACACACAUACAUAUCAGAUUCACGAAAUAUGGGGAACGUUUUUAGGGUUUUUCUGGGCAUUCUGAAUGGCUGUUUUUGCUUGAUUUUCAAUAUAAGUUUCUCUGAAAUGGAAUAUUAUUUGAAGGAUAUUGGUUUCUGUAAUAAUGGGAUCUGGUUGUUGUCAAAUUUUCGGCCCGACAUUGAGCACUGGAGUUUGCUGUAGCUGAAAGUUUUACUAUGUAUUGGAAUUUUUCUGCACAACGUGGAAUGCUUGUUCUAGAUUCAUCUAAAGCAAAUGAUGUGGACUCAAUAUUCGAUCAAGCUAGACAACAUGCAGUUGUUGAAGCACGUCCUGCAUUCUCUAGAUCUAGAACCUUUACUGGAUCUGCUAGAAGAUAUACUGGAUGCAGAGCGGCAGGAUAAAUAUCUGGCAAGUAUGUUGAACAGGGUGGUAAAGGAGGUGGAAGGCGUGCCAAUUUUGCACAAAACAUGAAUUUUGGGAGAUCCAUUUAUAUAUAGACAUUUUUGGAACCAUGAUUUCAAUUAGCAUAUACAAGGCCCUUGUAGAACUUAGGGUGGUAGGCAUGCCAAUAGAAGCCUCCCAUUAUUAGCUUAUUUUUUUACUUCAUUGUUGGUAUUGCAGAUGCUUUGAAUUGAAAUAUACAAUUACAUGUAUUUUUUUUAAAUCUAUUUUGUACAUUUAUAAUAUUAAUUUAUAUGCAUUUCAGU
Molecule: long non-coding RNA, 769 nt
Organism: Lycium ferocissimum
Lineage: Eukaryota; Viridiplantae; Streptophyta; Magnoliopsida; Solanales; Solanaceae
Exons: 3
Source: RefSeq, a predicted model, not a curated record